CGGGUGGCUGCAGUGGGGAAUAUUGGACAAUGGGGGGAACCCUGAUCCAGCCAUGCCGCGUGUGUGAAGAAGGCCCUCGGGUUGUAAAGCACUUUCAGUGAGGAAGAACGCCUGGUGGUUAAUACCCAUCAGGAAAGACAUCACUCACAGAAGAAGCACCGGCUAACUCCGUGCCAGCAGCCGCGGUAAUACGGAGGGUGCGAGCGUUAAUCGGAAUUACUGGGCGUAAAGCGCGCGUAGGUGGCUUGAUAAGCCGGUUGUGAAAGCCCCGGGCUCAACCUGGGAACGGCAUCCGGAACUGUCAAGCUAGAGUGCAGGAGAGGAAGGUAGAAUUCCCGGUGUAGCGGUGAAAUGCGUAGAGAUCGGGAGGAAUACCAGUGGCGAAGGCGGCCUUCUGGACUGACACUGACACUGAGGUGCGAAAGCGUGGGUAGCAAACAGGAUUAGAUACCCCGGUAGUC
Molecule: ribosomal RNA, 461 nt
Filed under: Vreelandella stevensii
Lineage: Bacteria; Pseudomonadati; Pseudomonadota; Gammaproteobacteria; Oceanospirillales; Halomonadaceae
Description: partial 16S ribosomal RNA
Rfam family: Bacterial small subunit ribosomal RNA
Source: RNAcentral